RNAcentral lists this ribosomal RNA (488 nucleotides) under Mesorhizobium sp. RNAcentral's name for it is "bacterial SSU rRNA". It matches the Rfam family "Bacterial small subunit ribosomal RNA", at positions 866 to 1367 of the family's 1533-position model. The record is from RNAcentral. Lineage: Bacteria; Pseudomonadati; Pseudomonadota; Alphaproteobacteria; Hyphomicrobiales; Phyllobacteriaceae.
UUCCCGCCUGGGGAGUACGGUCGCAGAUUAAAACUCAAAGGAAUUGACGGGGGCCCACAAGCGGUGGAGCAUGUGGUUUAAUUGAAGCAACGCGCAGAACCUUACCAGCCCUUGACAUCCCGGUCGCGGUUACCAGAGAUGGUUUCUUCAGUUCGGCUGGACCGGAGACAGUGCUGCAUGGCUGUCGUCAGCUCGUGUCGUGAGAUGUUGGGUUAAGUCCCGCAACGAGCGCAACCCUCGCCCUUAGUUGCCAUCAUUCAGUUGGGCACUCUAAGGGGACUGCCGGUGAUAAGCCGAGAGGAAGGUGGGGAUGACGUCAAGUCCUCAUGGCCCUUACGGGCUGGGCUACACACGUGCUACAAUGGCGGUGACAGUGGGCAGCGACCUCGCGAGAGGUAGCUAAUCCCAAAAAGCCGUGUCAGUUCGGAUUGUAUCUGCACUCGAGUGCAGAAGUCUGAUUCGCUAUGGAGUGUCUGAAUUUCAUAAAU